This 484-nucleotide ribosomal RNA is filed under the name uncultured bacterium. RNAcentral's name for it is "partial 16S ribosomal RNA". It matches the Rfam family "Bacterial small subunit ribosomal RNA", at positions 28 to 523 of the family's 1533-position model. The record is from RNAcentral.
GAUGAACGCUGGCGGCGUGCUUAACACAUGCAAGUCGAACGGUGAAGCAGGAGCUUGCUCUUGUGGAUCAGUGGCGAACGGGUGAGUAACACGUGAACAACCUGCCCCUGACUCUGGGAUAAGCGCUGGAAACGGCGUCUAAUACUGGAUAUGUUAUGUGACCGCAUGGUCUGCAUCUGGAAAGAAUUUCGGUUGGGGAUGGGCUCGCGGCCUAUCAGCUUGUUGGUGAGGUAAUGGCUCACCGAGGCGUCGACGGGUAGCCGGCCUGAGAGGGUGACCGGCCACACUGGGACUGAGACACGGCCCAGACUCCUACGGGAGGCAGCAGUGGGGAAUAUUGCACAAUGGGCGGAAGCCUGAUGCAGCAACGCCGCGUGAGGGAUGACGGCCUUCGGGUUGUAAACCUCUUUUAGCAGGGAAGAAGCGAAAGUGACGGUACCUGCAGAAAAAGCACCGGCUAACUACGUGCCAGCCGCCGCGGUAA